This 797-nucleotide ribosomal RNA is filed under the name uncultured bacterium. RNAcentral's name for it is "bacterial SSU rRNA". It matches the Rfam family "Bacterial small subunit ribosomal RNA", at positions 8 to 796 of the family's 1533-position model. The record is from RNAcentral.
AGAGUUUGAUCAUGGCUCAGAUUGAACGCUGGCGGCAUGCUUUACACAUGCAAGUCGAACGGUAACGCGGGGGCAACCCUGGCGACGAGUGGCGAACGGGUGAGUAAUACAUCGGAACAUGUCCUGGAGUGGGGGAUAGCUCGGCGAAAGCCGGAUUAAUACCGCAUAAGCUCCGAGGAGGAAAGCGGGGGACCUGGUAACGGGCCUCGCGCUGCAGGAGUGGCCGAUGUCGGAUUAGCUAGUUGGUGAGGUAAAGGCUCACCAAGGCGACGAUCCGUAGCUGGUCUGAGAGGAUGAUCAGCCACACUGGGACUGAGACACGGCCCAGACUCCUACGGGAGGCAGCAGUGGGGAAUUUUGGACAAUGGGGGCAACCCUGAUCCAGCCAUGCCGCGUGAGUGAAGAAGGCCUUCGGGUUGUAAAGCUCUUUCGGACGGGACGAAAAGGUUAUGGUGAAUAGCCAUGACUAAUGACGGUACCGUAAUAAGAAGCACCGGCUAACUACGUGCCAGCAGCCGCGGUAAUACGUAGGGUGCGAGCGUUAAUCGGAAUUACUGGGCGUAAAGCGUGCGCAGGCGGGCUUUUAAGCCAGACGUGAAAUCCCCGGGCUUAACCUGGGAAUGGCGUUUGGGACUGGAAGUCUGGAGUGCGGCAGAGGAGACUGGAAUUCCUGGUGUAGCAGUGAAAUGCGUAGAUAUCAGGAGGAACACCGAUGGCGAAGGCAGGUCUCUGGGCUGACACUGACGCUCAUGCACGAAAGCGUGGGGAGCAAACAGGAUUAGAUACCCUAGUAGUCC